CCAUCGGUCGUUCAGUGGUAGAAUGCUCGCCUGCCACGCGGGCGGCCCGGGUUCCCGGCCGAUGCA
This 66-nucleotide transfer RNA is filed under the name Cordylochernes scorpioides. RNAcentral describes it as "tRNA-Gly". It matches the Rfam family "tRNA". From Rfam's summary of the family: Transfer RNA (tRNA) molecules are approximately 80 nucleotides in length. Lineage: Eukaryota; Metazoa; Arthropoda; Arachnida; Pseudoscorpiones; Chernetidae. The record is from RNAcentral.